CGCAAAUAGGCAGAGAUCCAGGGAUUUCCGAAUGAGGGAACUCACAUGGGUAACCCCAUGUAUCAUGCACUGAAUACAUAGGUGUAUGAGGGUAAACCCGGGGAACUGAAACAUCUAAGUACCCGGAGGAAGAGAAAGAAAAAUCGAUUUCCUAAGUAGCGGCGAGCGAACGGGAAAGAGCCCAAACCAGAAACUUGUUUCUGGGGUUGAGGAUAGAUCAUAAAAGAAGAGGUAUCUUAAUCGAAAAGGGCUGGAACGCCCUACCAUAGAAGGUAAUAGUCCUGUAGAUGAAAAGAGAAAACUUCGAGAUCUAAUCCAGAGUACCACGAGACACGUGAAACCUUGUGGGAAGCAGGGAGGACCACCUCCCAAGGCUAAAUACUACCUAGUGACCGAUAGUGAAGCAGUACCGUGAGGGAAAGGUGAAAAGAACCCCGGGAGGGGAGUGAAAUAGAACCUGAAACCGUGUGCCUACAACCGAUCGGAGCACGUUAAAGUGUGACGAUGUGCUUUUUGUAGAACGAGCCAGCGAGUUACGCUAUGUAGCAAGGUUAAGUACUUAAGGUAUGGAGCCGAAGGGAAACCGAGUCUGAAAAGGGCGAAAAGUUGCAUGGUGUAGACCCGAAACCGGGUGACCUAUCCAUGGCCAGGUUGAAGCGAGAGUAAAAUCUCGUGGAGGACCGAACCACGUUGGUGUUGAAAAACCAUGGGAUGAGCUGUGGAUAGCGGAGAAAUUCCAAUCGAACUCGGAGAUAGCUGGUUCUCCCCGAAAUAGCUUUAGGGCUAGCGUCGUGUAAUUGAGUAAUGGAGGUAGAGCACUGAAUGGGCUAGGGGCUAUAGUAGUUACCGAACCCUAUCAAACUCCGAAUGCCAUAUACUUGUAUCACGGCAGUCAGACUGCGAAUGAUAAGAUCCGUAGUCAAAAGGGAAACAGCCCAGACCAUCAGCUAAGGUCCCAAAGUGUAAGUUAAGUGGAAAAGGAUGUGGGAUUUCUAAGACAACUAGGAUGUUGGCUUAGAAGCAGCCACUCAUUUAAAGAGUGCGUAAUAGCUCACUAGUCAAGAGAUCCUGCGCCGAAGAUGUCCGGGGCUCAAACUUACCACCGAAGCUAUGGGGUGUACACUAUGUGUACGCGGUAGGGGAGCUUUCUGUAUGGGUUGAAGUCGUACCGUAAGGAGUGGUGGACUGUACAGAAGUGAGAAUGCUGGCAUAAGUAGCGAGAAAUAAGUGAGAAUCUUAUUGGCCGAAAACCUAAGGUUUCCUGGGGAAGGCUCGUCCGCCCAGGGUUAGUCGGGACCUAAGCCGAGGCCGAAAGGCGUAGGUGAUGGACAAUCGGUUGAUAUUCCGAUACCACCUAUUUACGUUUGAGAGAUGGGGUGACGCAGUAGGAUAAGAUGUGCGCACUAUUGGAUGUGCGUCUAAGCAUUUAGGCAUGCUUGAUAGGCAAAUCCGUCAGGCUAAGCUGAGAUGUUAUGGGGAGCCAAAUGUGGCGAAGUAUCUGAUUCCACACUGCCAAGAAAAGCCUCUAUCGAGUAAAUAGGUGCCCGUACCGCAAACCGACACAGGUAGGUGAGGAGAGAAUCCUAAGGCCAUCGGAAGAAUUGCUGUUAAGGAACUCGGCAAAUUGACCCCGUAACUUCGGGAGAAGGGGUGCCUACGAAAGUAGGCCGCAGAGAAUAGGCCCAAGCAACUGUUUAGCAAAAACACAGGUCUCUGCUAAAGCGAAAGCUGAUGUAUAGGGGCUGACGCCUGCCCGGUGCUGGAAGGUUAAGGGGAACACUUAGCGAAGCGAAGGUGUGAACUUAAGCCCCAGUAAACGGCGGCCGUAACUAUAACGGUCCUAAGGUAGCGAAAUUCCUUGUCGGGUAAGUUCCGACCCGCACGAAUGGCGUAAUGAUUUGGGCACUGUCUCAACAGCAAAUCCGGCGAAAUUGUAGUGCAAGUGAAGAUGCUUGCUACCCGCGAUUGGACGGAAAGACCCUGUAGAGCUUUACUGUAGCUUAGCAUUGAAUCUCGGUAUUGUCUGUAC
Clostridium sp. is the source of this 2029-nucleotide non-coding RNA. NCBI's taxonomy places the organism in Bacteria, Bacillati, Bacillota, Clostridia, Eubacteriales, Clostridiaceae. The record is from Rfam.